This 57-nucleotide transfer RNA is filed under the name Macropostrongyloides spearei. Its description in RNAcentral is "tRNA-Ser". The record is from RNAcentral. Lineage: Eukaryota; Metazoa; Nematoda; Chromadorea; Rhabditida; Strongylidae.
AAACUAUAUAUAAUUUUGUUUUGAAAACAAAAUUAAAGAUUAUUUCUUGUAGUUUUU